This 1829-nucleotide long non-coding RNA is filed under the name Sarcophilus harrisii (Tasmanian devil). RNAcentral's name for it is "lncRNA (ENSSHAG00000027548.1)". Lineage: Eukaryota; Metazoa; Chordata; Mammalia; Dasyuromorphia; Dasyuridae. The record is from RNAcentral.
UGCAAGUGAAUGAGGAUUUUCAGUUCUGUCCAUUUGGUGAGAUGUAUAUAUAAGGAAUCUAACAUACAGCUUGUGGUCAUGCAGCUUUUUCACCAUAGGUAAGACUGGGCAGAUGUGGAGCAGAAGAGCUAAUUAAUAUACUUUUUAAAAAAAAAAUGCUAUUGCAAAUCUCAUUUUCUGACUAAAGGGAAAAUAAUAUCUGUGUACAAAAUAGAAUAGGGCAGGGCUAAUAGCUUAUGUCCCAGUGUUUCUAGCUAUCAUUCAUUUUGUUUAAUGGCAGAGUUCUUACCAUCAUAAUAGGGAUGGUAUUUUCCCAUCAGUAAACAAUCCUUUGUAGGUUUAAUAGAUGUCAGACAAUCAUUAUAUGGGGUGAGGGAAAUGGGACCCACCCAACUUAGCUUCACAUGUCCCUGCAUGGUAUUUGCCAGCCGUUGACAGGGGAAGAAAGGUGAAACUGGAAAUGUUCUUGGAUCAAAUCCAAUUCUUUGAUCGUUACUAUAAGAAUUUGGUUGUUGGAAUGAUUUCUCAUCAUAGUCAUGUGAUUUUAGAGGCUAUUCAGGUGAUAAUUGGAGCCUGGUUUUUUCAUUUUUUUCCAGCCAUGCAACAUGAUGGCGCAGUGGAAGAAAUAAUCAUUUGGGAAUCAGUAACAUCUGUGGGGCUUUGGAUAAGUCCCCUAAUCUCCUUGGGCCUUUGUCACUCCAUUUUUUUAAAGUAAGAAGUAGAUGGAAUGCCAAGAGUCUGCCCAUAUCCAGUUUCUUUCUGGUCAGGUACUUUUGAAAAAAUGAGAUGGCUGUAGUAAUAAUAAUAAUGAUACUAGCUUUAGGUGAUGGGAUAGUAAGAAGACUGAUGCCAUUUGCUCCCAACGCUAUUCUGACUACUUUGAGUCAUAUUUGAUAUAUUUGUAUUUUUGUAUAGUUAAUUUCCCUCCUCAGUUUCACAGAUGGUAGGCAUAGAAUCAAGUUUACCUUGGUCUUUUCAUUCCAUAUGAUCUAAAAAUUGGAGUCCCUUAACAUUUGUAAAGUAAUAUCUGAAUAUUUGACUUCAAAAAUAUUUAAGUAUGAGUUGUAAGAACUUUAUAGGUUAAUAUUUAUGUUUUUUCCAGAGUAUUUAAUGGAUGGUACAGACCAAUUAGCUGUAGGGUUUUCAUUCAAGAUAAGUUUUCAUGACCGGUAAAGUAAUUAUGGAUUAUAAUUAAUCCAGUCACUGUUCCCAGGGUCUUUACUCCUAUCCUGUAUUAGGAUUCCUAUAAUCUCCUCAAAGAACAGAAAAUAUGGUUAGAAGGAAGGUUGCCUUUCAUUUACACUUUGUCCCCCAAGACCCAUUUUCAUAAUCACUGCUCUAAAUUGCAAAUUAUAUUGACUAUAUGGUUUGUUCCAAAUUAUUAGAAACAGUUAAAUUCAGCUCCACAACAGUAGUGCUUCCAGAAAAUGAUUAAUUUGAACUCAGAUUUCCUUCACCUUGACCAUAAAUUUAAGAUGCAGCAAGUAGAGCAUUCUGCCCAAAUUUUCAAAACUGAGAACCCUCUUUAAAGUGAGCCCCUUUCAAAACACUAGGUUAUAAAUAUUCUACCUAUGAUCCUAAGGGUUUUGGGAAACCCUGAACACAUAUUGACAGAGUAAAUCUAUUCAGAUGAGUCACUCUUUACGGAAAAUGGAAGUCCUUGGUUGUCCUCAUUUGCUAAGAGAACAUGUAACAAUUGGGAAAAAUCUAAGACGGUUUCCAAGGGCAUGGAGAGAUCUCUUCUGUAUCUUUUGGAUUUUCAAUCCCUGGAAUCUGAAAGGUCCUGUCUGCAGCGAGAAGGCUUGUCUUUUGAAAUUAUGCUUUUAAUA